Long non-coding RNA from Peromyscus maniculatus bairdii (prairie deer mouse), 418 nucleotides. RefSeq lists it as uncharacterized. NCBI's taxonomy places the organism in Eukaryota, Metazoa, Chordata, Mammalia, Rodentia, Cricetidae. The record is from RefSeq and is a predicted model, not a curated record.
GAGAACCCAACUGGACUGCACUACACCUCUCCAGGACCCUAUAACCAAUCCCUUUACUUCCCUCACCCUUUCUCUCCUCCAAAAUUUAAUAAAUCUGCACUGGAUAUGCCAUCUGGUUUAAAUGCAAGCCAGUUCCCAUCGGUAGUGGAGAAGCAGCCCGAGACUCCUCACCUGGCGGCAAACAGGGAACAUAAACAAUGCCUUCGAGAUGCCAGCUUCUCCAAAGGGCAGAGGCAGGUUGCGCCAAUGUGUCUCUUGUUAGUUCUUUCCCUGGGUCUACAGAAAACAAAUGUAUCUUGGAAUGGGCAGCAUUCAAUUGAACGUCGGGUUUCUCUCUGUUUUCUGGUCGAGUGGGAACACAGAGGCUCCCCAUGGAGGAAAAUAAACAGCGAUGUACUUUUGGCAUCUGUUGGCAGUA